GGAAGGGGUGUAUUUAUUAGAUUAAAAACCAAUGCCCUUCGGGGCUCUCUGGUGAUUCAUAAUAACUUCUCGAAUCGCACGGCCUUGCGCCGGCGAUGGUUCAUUCAAAUUUCUGCCCUAUCAACUUUCGACGGCUGGGUCUUGGCCAGCCAUGGUGACAACGGGUAACGGAGGGUUAGGGCUCGACCCCGGAGAAGGAGCCUGAGAAACGGCUACUACAUCCAAGGAAGGCAGCAGGCGCGCAAAUUACCCAAUCCCGACACGGGGAGGUAGUGACAAUAAAUACUGAUACAGGGCUCUUUCGGGUCUUGUAAUUGGAAUGAGUACAAUUUAAAUCCCUUAACGAGGAACAAUUGGAGGGCAAGUCUGGUGCCAGCAGCCGCGGUAAGUCCAGCUCCAAUAGCGUAUAUUAAAGUUGUUGAGGUUAAAAAGCUCGUAGUUGAACCUUGGGCCUAGCCGGCCGGUCCGCCUCACCGCGUGCACUGGCUCGGCUGGGCCUUUCCUUCUGGAGAACCGCAUGCCCUUCACUGGGUGUGCCGGGGAACCAGGACUUUUACA
RNAcentral lists this ribosomal RNA (558 nucleotides) under uncultured Ascomycota. RNAcentral describes it as "SSU rRNA". It matches the Rfam family "Eukaryotic small subunit ribosomal RNA", at positions 194 to 756 of the family's 1831-position model. The record is from RNAcentral. Lineage: Eukaryota; Fungi; Ascomycota.